UACGUAGGGUGCAAGCGUUGGCCGGAAUUAUUGGGCGUAAAGAGCUCGUAGGCGGUCUGUCGCGUCUGCUGUGAAAACUCAGGGCUUAACCCUGAGCUUGCAGUGGGUACGGGCAGACUAGAGUGCGGUAGGGGAGACUGGAAUUCCUGGUGUAGCGGUGAAAUGCGCAGAUAUCAGGAGGAACACCGGUGGCGAAGGCGGGUCUCUGGGCCGUAACUGACGCUGAGGAGCGAAAGCAUGGGGAGCGAACAGG
Molecule: ribosomal RNA, 253 nt
Filed under: uncultured bacterium
Lineage: Bacteria
Description: partial 16S ribosomal RNA
Rfam family: Bacterial small subunit ribosomal RNA
Source: RNAcentral